RNAcentral lists this ribosomal RNA (484 nucleotides) under uncultured bacterium. Its description in RNAcentral is "partial 16S ribosomal RNA". It matches the Rfam family "Bacterial small subunit ribosomal RNA", at positions 28 to 523 of the family's 1533-position model. The record is from RNAcentral.
GACGAACGCUGGCGGCGUGCUUAACACAUGCAAGUCGAACGAUGAACCCGGAGCUUGCUCCGGCGGAUUAGUGGCGAACGGGUGAGUAACACGUGAGUAACCUGCCCUUGACUCUGGGAUAACUGCGGGAAACUGUAGCUAAUACCGGAUACGACCCUCGGCGGCAUCGCCAGGGGGUGGAAAGAAUUUCGGUCAAGGAUGGACUCGCGGCCUAUCAGCUAGUUGGUGAGGUAACGGCUCACCAAGGCGACGACGGGUAGCCGGCCUGAGAGGGUGACCGGCCACACUGGGACUGAGACACGGCCCAGACUCCUACGGGAGGCAGCAGUGGUGAAUAUUGCACAAUGGGCGCAAGCCUGAUGCAGCAGCGCCGCGUGAGGGAUGACGGCCUUCGGGUUGUAAACCUCUUUUAGUAGGGAAGAAGCGAAAGUGACGGUACCUGCAGAAAAAGCACCGGCUAACUACGUGCCAGCCGCCGCCGUAA